AAAUCUAUAGCUUAAUUAGAUUAAAGUAUAUAAUUACGAAUUAUAAGAUAAAGGUUUAAAUCCUUUUAGAUUUU
Molecule: transfer RNA, 74 nt
Filed under: Babesia gibsoni
Lineage: Eukaryota; Apicomplexa; Aconoidasida; Piroplasmida; Babesiidae
Description: tRNA-Arg
Rfam family: tRNA
About the family: Transfer RNA (tRNA) molecules are approximately 80 nucleotides in length.
Source: RNAcentral